Long non-coding RNA from Uranotaenia lowii, 580 nucleotides. RefSeq lists it as uncharacterized. The transcript is spliced from 2 exons. The record is from RefSeq and is a predicted model, not a curated record. Lineage: Eukaryota; Metazoa; Arthropoda; Insecta; Diptera; Culicidae.
AUCGAUAGAAACGAAUCCUGCCUCCGAGCUUGAUCGUUUUCGAUUGGUUUCGAUCGAUUUCGAUUGGCUUGAUUGAACGUCAAUUGGAUUAGUUUCGACCAAAACAUUGGCUGAGUGAACAACCAUUUACCAAUCGAAAUCGAUUGAAACCGAUUUCAAUUGGCUGUUGAACGCGCUUGAAGUUCAACUCCCAGCAGCAACAAAAAUGUCCUCUCCGAUCAGGGUCCGACAUACGGUCACACAGUUCUAAAAUCAAACUGGAAGAAGGACACCAGCGAUGUUCGCAACAGCGCCGGGAGCUGGAGGAGCAAGGAGCUGGAGAAGCUACGCCAAUAAUGCCCGUGUGAUGGAAAUUAAACCACCUCCUGAUGAAGGAGCUAAUGUGCUAAUAAUAUUGUACUAUGGGCGAUGGAAGCGAAAAGUUAUUCUUUCUCUCCUUAAGAAAAACGCCUUUAGAACUGUCAAAAGUUGGGUGAAAUUAUAGCUGCAUCCCACUUGCACUAAUGCAAAACCAUCACCCAAAUUCGUCAGCGCUUCCAUCGCCUAUAGUGAAUAAAAUAGAAUUUCAUAAUAUUUCAAA